Molecule: ribosomal RNA, 497 nt
Filed under: uncultured bacterium
Lineage: Bacteria
Description: partial 16S ribosomal RNA
Rfam family: Bacterial small subunit ribosomal RNA
Source: RNAcentral
GAUGAACGCUGGCGGCGUGCCUAAUACAUGCAAGUCGAGCGAACGGACGAGAAGCUUGCUUCUCUGAUGUUAGCGGAGGACGGGUGAGUAACACGUGGAUAACCUACCUAUAAGACUGGGAUAACUUCGGGAAACCGGAGCUAAUACCGGAUAAUAUUUUGAACCGCAUGGUUCAAAAGUGAAAGACGGUCUUGCUGUCACUUAUAGAUGGAUCCGCGCUGCAUUAGCUAGUUGGUAAGGUAACGGCUUACCAAGGCAACGAUGCAUAGCCGACCUGAGAGGGUGAUCGCCCACACUGGAGCUUAGACACGGUCCAGACUCCUACGGGAGGCACCAGUAGGGAAUCUUCCGCAAUGGGCGAAAGCCUGACGGAGCAACGCCGCGUGAGUGAUGAAGGUCUUCGGAUCGUAAAACUCUGUUAUUAGUGAAGAACAUAUGUGUAAGUAACUGUGCACAUCUUGACGGUACCUAAUCAGAAAGCCACGGCUAACUACGUG